RNAcentral lists this small RNA (27 nucleotides) under Bombyx mori (domestic silkworm). RNAcentral's name for it is "ovarian small RNA-25885". Lineage: Eukaryota; Metazoa; Arthropoda; Insecta; Lepidoptera; Bombycidae. The record is from RNAcentral.
UCAUAAUGUUUUAUUGCUCGAGCUUGC